AGGAAAUUAUGAUUAAUAUGACUGAACAAAUCAUUUUAAAUGGAACUGUAAGUAAACUUAUACUCUGUUAUAUUAUGUUUAAUAGGCAAUAUGAGUUCAUAAGAAGAAAUUGUGUGACAAGAGAAAGGAGUAAUAAAAUGUUAAUGAACACCAUUCCAACUGGGCAGGAACAAAUGGGUUGUGGACUGUGUAAACACAUAAGGUCGUUAGCCUAUGGUUGACCCAACCUGAAACUUAGCUCUGGGGUUUUUAGAUAAGGCAGUGAGUGCAUUCCUAGGGUUUCUGUUAAUUAAAACUGUCAGUUCAGUGGUGAUCGAUAAUGUUGAGGGGUCAAAAGUUAUCUGGGAGUGUGUUAGUAAGUUAGAAUGAACUUUUCACCUUACUUUGUCCUGUCGAGAGGAGGGGGUUCGGUUAAGGCAGUGAAAUGACGUCAUGAUCUGUAUUUAAACUGAUGCAUGUGUUUGAGUGGGAGCGCGCUCCGAGAAUAAAUUCUAUUACCUAUUAUUUAAAGACUGGUCUGCGUCUAUUUUAUGCAAACAAGAAAUCUUACAAAUAAUCAUAAAAUAGAUGAAGGGCUUUCAAUUGAUGAAAGCACAUUGGCUUAAUUAAAUUAUACUAACAAUUGGUCCUUCGAGUGGAUUCCACAAACUUCUCUGUCGUCCGAAGGGAAAAGCUGAAAACCGUGCGCACGGACGAGGUUGGACUCGUAGUUUAAAAGUCCUGGCCUCCAGCAGAGGUUUAAUAACAGGCCGGUAUAUAUAUCUUAGGUCGACAGAGAACGUGACGGAAUCGAACCGGCAUUGCUUUUCCCAGUCUACAGGACGAAGGUAAAUAGUCUUUAUUCUCGAAUUUGGGAGGAAUUAUUUAAGAUAUUUUUGAUUGAAGGUGCUAAAGGAGUUUGGAUUUAAUCAAUGAUAGUUGCUUGAAUAUUUUGAACAAAUACAAUGGGUUUCUACUUUGUGGGUAACCAAAAUCGAUAGGAAGGAAGCGAGUCUGAAAUGACUCGUGGUAAGGUGCACUACCGAAAGUAAACUAGGACUUAAUCAAUCUUGGCCUUGCAAACCGAAAGAUUUUUUAAGGGUGGGAUAUAGUAAGUAUUGUUAGAUGGGACGUUCAUUCUGUACAAAUAGGAUAGCCAUUAAUUCAAUAAACAUACCUAAAUAAAGUUUUUACCUAAUAGUCUAUCUGUAAUAUGGGAAGUAGUCUGACUAUGAAAAGUAUCAGAUAGAUAUGUUAAAACAGGUGAGGAUAAAUUAGGCUUGGUGAGGAGGCAGAGCAAUUCUAGGCGAACCUAAUCACUGAACCCAUUCAAUACUGAAAGAGAUUAAUAUCCAGGGAGGAGAGGGAAACUAAUUCUAGAAGUAGUGAGAUAUGAGAUAUUAAUUAACGUUGAAAGUCCCAAGGAACAAUAGUUUAUAAUGAGCUUAUAAUUGUAUACGGGUGAAAUGUAAUGUCCAAAUCAAAAGUCAACUAUAGAUGAGGUUUCCAGGAAGGAGAAUACAUACAGAUUAUCAUUAAAGAGAGGAUCUGUACCCCCUAAUAGAGUUACCCAAUCCCCAGGCGGGGGAGGGAGAUCAUGAACCUAUUGUUCGGGUCUAUAGACCUUGGACGCAGAGAGACGUAGAAAAGGCAGUAGAAGGUAUCCCCCACCCGAAGACAGGAAUGGCAGGUUUUGAGAGAGAUCUGAAUGGACUAGUUUCCAGUUUCAGGCUAAACACAGGGGAGGUGGAAAGAGCAGUUAGAACCAUGGUGGGAAAGGAUUGGUUUGCUGUGCGCGGGGCCUGGGUGCCAACAGGGAAUAAUGGGGACAUUAUACAGUGGAGCGCGGGACCUGGAGAGCCAUCCAGAGCAAACAUUACAGAAGUAAUCUAGUCGAUCAAAUAGUGGUGGUGAGAAUACGGCUGCAGGAGCUACUUGCGGGAUUAUCACCCAUAUAUGUGAAUCCUGCUGAAGCCGAGGGAGGUGUAAUAGAGGUAGAAAAAGGAAUAAAGACGAGAAAAGAGGAGAAAAGAGGAUAAGGCGAGUCAAAAGAAAAAGAGAAAAUGUUUUAAUUGUAACGAAAUUGGACAUUUCGCCCGGGAGUGUAACACUCCCUGCAAAAGACGUCACCACCAAUAUUGUAGUUUAACUGAGGGAAAGGUCAGAGACGACAAUCGGGUAAAGAAAAAGAAGGGUUAGAUCCAAAGGGAGCGAGAUUAAUGAGAAUCAUAACUGAGGGAAAAUGUUGGGCGUUUAAAUUAGUUAUAUUUUCUGUUGUUCAGAUGCUGGAGUAACAAAUACAGAUAACUGUAAAUUGGGUCUAUUUGCGGAGAAUCUCAGUUCCAUAGCAUUGGUGGUAUAGUGGUGAGCGUAGCAGUCUCACAACCUGCAGUCCAGGGUUCGGUUGCUGAGGCGUAAAAAAAUAAUAAUAAUAUAUAUAUAUCUGAGUUUUUGGUUGUAAUUAAACUAAUUGUUUAGCAGAGAAAGUUAUAGUCACUAGUAUUGGUAUAACAGAUAAACUGAACGUGUUAAAUAGUUUGUUUGGGACAAACUGAAAGACUAAUUCAUUCAACUUAAAAUAAGAACGAAGCGAAUUUUGAUGCAAGACGAUGUCUGUUCACUAAAUUAUCUGUUGGGAAUAAUAUAUUGAGAAUAGAGUUGUAAUUAAAAUGCUAAAUCAAAGACGAGACAGUAAUUCAAAUCAAAUUAAUUGUGAAUAAUAACGGGGAAACAAUUACGAUAGAUUUGUGUCCAUCGAAAUGUUUUUAUAAAAUUAGCGAAUUGAUUGAUGUUGUAAACUCUAAUUCAGGAUUCAACAGAUGUGAUAAAUCAGGUUUGGUUUAUCGGACCCAAAAUACUGUUGCUGCAGACAGCCAACCAUUAUUUACAAUUAAUUGAAAAUCGUUGCGAAAUGAGUCGAGGUUGAGCGCUUGUUGAUGACAUCACUCGCGAGGCUUUCGUCGCCACGGAAAUGAUGUCGUGACUGGGGGUAACGGAGAGAAUGCUUCGUGUCUUUUAGAAGAAAAAUGCGUGCAUUAUUAUUGAGUCACUUUUCAGAAGUUGAUAAAAAUGUCGAAAUACAUUUUUAAAAGGAGUAUGUAAAUCGUCAGGAAAGAUGCAAAAAACUAGCAGCUGAUUCGCUAGAUUUUAUGCACUACAGGUGAAUUACAGGUGAAGUCACUCAAUCCAAUCCCUGAGGCCUGUUGGGGGUACCAUACCAAUGACUCCUGGGGACAGCUAGCAGAAAGAAAUACCCGGAUUCAUAUCACACUGCGGGAGGGUAAGACACCUUGUCACUGUCGAACAAUAACAGAGUUCGAGAGGAGAACUGGAAUUAACAGAAUUCUGGGGGCCAUCUCUCGAAUGAAAAAUACCUUACCUGUCCUUUCCUCACUGUUCUUGUUCAUAGAAGUGAAAAUGUGUCUGACUCUUGCUAAUGAUGUGUUUUCUGGAAGAGGGUGGGGCUUUAUAGGUGAGCUGUCCAUCCUAAGCUGUAUGGUUGGAGAUCUUAUUCCUACAACAUGAACCCGAGAAGGCCAGAGGGUAAUAUUGACAUAAUUAAAUGAGAAAUUAGUAUUAACCAAGCAUAAGAGAUUACUUGAUCUGGAUAAACAGGAUGGUUGAGAUCUGGGGAUUUCAGUAAGAUAAGGAGACUCAGGGCUCACAUCUGUUGAAUGUGUGGGAGAAUGACAUGAUGGCGGAGUAUUACUGGCUAAUUGAACAGAGGUAUGUGUACUGAAACAUUUUGAGAAUGCCUUUUACGCUCAUUCAACACCAUGACAUGGUGUUGACUAAACGGGAGAAAAGAAGUACUCCGACUGGGUCUUUUGAUGAUAGGGUUUGUAUUAAUAACAUUGUGGAUCCAAGGGUGGCAGAUGAGAUCAAAGCUAUAAAUUAGAUCCUGGCAGGAUUAGAGUCAAGUAUUUUUUGGUGGUCCACUCUCAAUGAGAAUGUGGAUUGGAUCAAUUAUAUCUAUUAAAAAUCCACAGCGCUUCACCAAUUAUUUUAGAGAUGUAAUGAAUGACUUGGCAGAAUAGAAUAGUCUUGGAUGUUUGCUGGCUGAAGAGGGUGGGAGUGUAUAGGUAGUUUGACUCCAGGAUAUACAGUUAGGAUGGAUCAGUGACCAAGGCCUUGUCUGGUUUACACACCCUAGUUCACGAGUUGGAAAUAAACUCAGGGGUGGAUACUUCUUUGGCUAAUUGGGUUGACAGUGUGUUUGAAAGAUGGAAAAAUGUUAUGAUUACUGUGUUAUGGGCUACCUUCACCUGUGUGACUGUGUUAGUUUUGUACGGACGUGGUUGAUUGCGUGUAUGUAUGAAAGUUAUCAUUUCCAGGACUCUGGCGAAAUCGAUGACACUUCAGAUGGAGAUAUAUGGACCAAUCCUAAACUCUGACCAGUGGAAUACAAAAUACAUGGCUUGGACGUAAUAGAAGAAUCCGGAUCAUUUCACUCGCGAGGAGACCAUAUUUGAUGUUUAGGAAACUUAGAUGUUUUCUUAUUUCAAUGUAUAGACUGUUUUUUCAUGAAGAUUAACAGAAAAUCCUGAUAAGUAGAAUUAAGAUUCUGAUGUAGGAUAGAACAGUCAUGGAAGUUGAUUAUGUACAUACAUGUAUUGGUUGUCUUCUUUUAGUAUCAUUGAUAUUUCCAUGUAGUGUUUAAUGUUGGUAUGAGUUGUUAAGUCAUUUUGAGGGUGGAUUGUUAGGAAAUUAUGAUUAAUAUGACUGAACAAAUCAUUUUAAAUGGAACUGUAAGUAAACUUAUACUCUGUUAUAUUAUGUUUAAUAGGCAAUAUGAGUUCAUAAGAAGAAAUUGUGUGACAAGAGAAAGGAGUAAUAAAAUGUUAAUGAACACCAUUCCAACUGGGCAGGAACAAAUGGGUUGUGGACUGUGUAAACACAUAAGGUCGUUAGCCUAUGGUUGACCCAACCUGAAACUUAGCUCUGGGGUUUUUAGAUAAGGCAGUGAGUGCAUUCCUAGGGUUUCUGUUAAUUAAAACUGUCAGUUCAGUGGUGAUCGAUAAUGUUGAGGGGUCAAAAGUUAUCUGGGAGUGUGUUAGUAAGUUAGAAUGAACUUUUCACCUUACUUUGUCCUGUCGAGAGGAGGGGGUUCGGUUAAGGCAGUGAAAUGACGUCAUGAUCUGUAUUUAAACUGAUGCAUGUGUUUGAGUGGGAGCGCGCUCCGAGAAUAAAUUCUAUUACCUAUUAUUUAAA
Molecule: non-coding RNA, 5190 nt
Organism: Oncorhynchus mykiss (rainbow trout)
Lineage: Eukaryota; Metazoa; Chordata; Actinopteri; Salmoniformes; Salmonidae
Source: RefSeq, a predicted model, not a curated record